Molecule: long non-coding RNA, 362 nt
Filed under: Lynx pardinus (Iberian lynx)
Lineage: Eukaryota; Metazoa; Chordata; Mammalia; Carnivora; Felidae
Source: RNAcentral
CAAAAAAACAAUAGUCUGUUUUAUUCACAGCACAUGUAGAAGUUGGAACAUCGACUGAAUUCCACUUUCUUCUCUCGCAGUGUGUCUGUAACCAGCUAAUGAGCUGCAACAGAGCCUGGCCUUCAUUUUCAGCAAAUUAAGUUCAUCCCUCAUAGGAAUUGUGGUCUGGCUGUGGCACCACUCCUAGGUAUGGGUGGGAUUUGUUUCUUCUACCAGUUGUAGGUUAGCCACAUGGGUACGUGCUGUCGCACCACACAACAGAAUUUUCUCUAUAAUAACCAGUCUAAGUAGCCUUUUACCCCACAAAAGUAGAUCCCAUUUAAUUUACUUUGUGUUUAUAGCACUCCCUCUCAAACCGCAUC